GUUUGGGUAGCUCAGCAGGUAGAGCGGAGGACUGAAAAUCCUUAGGUCGUUGGUUCAAGUCCAACUUCAGAC
RNAcentral lists this transfer RNA (72 nucleotides) under Dictyota dichotoma. RNAcentral describes it as "tRNA-Phe". It matches the Rfam family "tRNA". Rfam says of the family: Transfer RNA (tRNA) molecules are approximately 80 nucleotides in length. Their secondary structure includes four short double-helical elements and three loops (D, anti-codon, and T loops). Further hydrogen bonds mediate the characteristic L-shaped molecular structure. tRNAs have two regions of fundamental functional importance: the anti-codon, which is responsible for specific mRNA codon recognition, and the 3' end, to which the tRNAs corresponding amino acid is attached (by aminoacyl-tRNA synthetases). tRNAs cope with the degeneracy of the genetic code in two manners: having more than one tRNA (with a specific anti-codon) for a particular amino acid; and 'wobble' base-pairing, i.e. permitting non-standard base-pairing at the 3rd anti-codon position. Lineage: Eukaryota; Phaeophyceae; Dictyotales; Dictyotaceae. The record is from RNAcentral.